RNAcentral lists this non-coding RNA (102 nucleotides) under Licmophora paradoxa. The record is from RNAcentral. Lineage: Eukaryota; Bacillariophyta; Fragilariophyceae; Licmophorales; Licmophoraceae.
CGAACUACACCUCUUAGUCUCGGAUCUUUCAUUGGGGCCCUCCUUAUGUUUGCCAACCUCACCCUCAUAUGCUCUGUCCUCUUUGGAGAAUUUGAAAUCCGC